Molecule: ribosomal RNA, 252 nt
Filed under: uncultured bacterium
Lineage: Bacteria
Description: partial 16S ribosomal RNA
Rfam family: Bacterial small subunit ribosomal RNA
Source: RNAcentral
UACGUAGGGUGCGAGCGUUAAUCGGAAUUACUGGGCGUAAAGAGUGCGUAGGCGGUUCGUUAUGUCUGCUGUGAAAGCCCCGGGCUUAACCUGGGAAUGGCCGUUGAAACUGGCGAACUGGAGUGUGGCAGAGGGGGGUGGAAUUCCGCGUGUAGCAGUGAAAUGCGCAGAUAUCAGGAGGAACACCGAUGGCGAAGGCAGGUCUCUGGGCCACUACUGACGUGAGAAGCGAAAGCAUGGGGAGCGAACAGG